GCCACCGUAGCUCAGGGGUAGAGCAGCUGUUUCGUAAACAGCAGGCCAACGGUUCAAAUCCGUUCGGUGGCUCCA
This 75-nucleotide transfer RNA is filed under the name Chloroflexota bacterium. RNAcentral's name for it is "tRNA-Thr". It matches the Rfam family "tRNA". Rfam says of the family: Transfer RNA (tRNA) molecules are approximately 80 nucleotides in length. Their secondary structure includes four short double-helical elements and three loops (D, anti-codon, and T loops). The record is from RNAcentral. Lineage: Bacteria; Bacillati; Chloroflexota.